This 497-nucleotide ribosomal RNA is filed under the name uncultured bacterium. RNAcentral describes it as "partial 16S ribosomal RNA". It matches the Rfam family "Bacterial small subunit ribosomal RNA", at positions 28 to 507 of the family's 1533-position model. The record is from RNAcentral.
GAUGAACGCUGGCGGCGUGCCUAAUACAUGCAAGUCGAGCGAACAGACGAUGAUCUUGCUCCUCUGACGUUAGCGGCGGACGUGUGAGUAACACGUGUAUAACCUACCUAUAAUACUGGGAUAACUUCGGAAAACCGGAUCUUAUACCGUAUAAUCUAUUGAAGCGCAUGGUUCAAUAGUAAAAUUCGGUGUUGCUGUCUCUUAUAGCUGCAUCCCCGCCGCGUGAGCUAGUUGGUAAGGUAACGGCUUACCAAGGCAACGAUGCGUAACCGACCUGAGAGGGUGAUAGGCCACCCGGGAACUGAGACACGGUCAUGACUCCUAAGGGAGGCAGCAGUCGGGAAUCUUAGGCAAUGGGCGAAAGCCUGACGGAGCAACGCCGCGUGAGUGAUGAAGGUCUUCGGAUCGUAAAGAUCUGUUAUUAGGGAAGAACAAAUGUGUACGUAACUAUGCCCGUAUUGACGGUAACUAAUAAGAAAGCAACGGCUAACUACGUG